Long non-coding RNA from Oncorhynchus tshawytscha (Chinook salmon), 346 nucleotides. NCBI's taxonomy places the organism in Eukaryota, Metazoa, Chordata, Actinopteri, Salmoniformes, Salmonidae. The record is from Ensembl.
GUACCAGUACAGAGUCAAUGUGGAGGCUAUAUACAGGGGGUACCGGUACAGAGUCAAUGUGGAGGCUAUAUACAGGGGGUACAGGUACAGAGUCAAUGUGGAGGUUAUAUACAGGGGGUACAGUACGGAGGCAAUGUGGAGGCUAUAUACAGGGGUACCGGUACAGAGUCAAUGUGGAGGUUAUAUACAGGGGGUACCGUACGGAGGCAAUGUGGAGGCUAUAUACAGGGGUACCGGUACAGAGUCAAUGUGGAGGUUAUAUACAGGGGGUACCGUACAGAGGCAAUGUGGAGUCUAUAUAAAGGGGGUAUCGGUACAGAGUCAAUGUGGAGACUAUAUACAGGGG